GUUGGCGGCGGGAGAGUAACGAGUAGAUACGUACCCAGGGGUUCGGGAUAGCCAUGCGAAAGCGUGAGUAAUACCGAAUAAUGUCUCCGGACCAAAUAUUUAUAGCCCUUGGAGCGGUCUGCUUACUAUUAGCUUGUUGGUGGGGUAAAAGCCUACCAAGGCGAAGAUGGUUAGCGGGUGUGAGAGCAUGGCCCGUCUCACUGGGACUGAGACACUGCCCAGACAUCUACGGAUGGCUGCAGUCGAGAAUCUUCCGCAAUGGACGAAAGUCUGACGGAGCGACGCCGCGUGAUGGACGAAGGCCCUCGGGUUGUAAACAUCUGUCGUAGGGGAGGAAAUUUUGACCGAUCCUAGGAGGAAGCACAGGCUAAGUUCGUGCCAGCAGCCGCGGUAAUACGAACUGUGCAAACGUUAUUCGGAAUCACUGGGCUUAAAGGGUGCGUAGGCGGGUUAGUAGGUCAGAUGUGAAAGCCCACGGCUCAACCGUGGAAUUGCGUUUGAAACCACUAGUCUUGAGGGGAUCAGAGGAGAGCGGAACUGAUGGUGGAGCGGUGAAAUGCGUUGAUAUUAUCAGGAACACCGGUGGCGAAGGCGGCUCUCUGGGAUCUUUCUGACGCUGAGGCACGAAAGCUAGGGGAGCGAACGGGUUUAGAUACCCCGGUAGUCCUAGCUGUA
Molecule: ribosomal RNA, 675 nt
Filed under: uncultured bacterium
Lineage: Bacteria
Description: bacterial SSU rRNA
Rfam family: Bacterial small subunit ribosomal RNA
Source: RNAcentral